AAAGGUGUCUUUGGACUCCUAGUAAUAGUCAUCUUCAUCAUUCCUGCUCUCUCUCUCUCUCUCUCUCUCUCUCUCUCUCUCUCUCUCUCUCUCUCUCUUGCUCUCUCUCUCUCUCUAAGUUGCCUUAUGAAAUAAGGGCACACAGGUAAUAAACAAAGCACUAUAAAAGAUCAGAUUGUGGUAUACCGUGGGCUCAUUUCAUUGUAGGAGCAAGGCAUUCUGCUCACCACUACCACCACCACCACAGCAGAUGCCUCGCCUUCAGUGCUGGGGCUAGAGGGUGAGGUGGGAGGGUGUCACUAUACCCCUCUCUUCCCUCCCCCAAGGCCACAUUAUUUGGAAGGGGCUCUGGGAAGUCCUCUUGGUCAUCUGAUCCACACCAGACAACAACCAGUGUCAGAGGAAAGGAUGUCAGGGGACAGACGGGGACCCUUGGAUGUGCUCAUUUGGAUUUUGGAUUUGACAUUAGUUCCUCAGUUUCAAGCCAUGUGUCAGAUCCAGGAGAAACAUGGCCAAGCUGGAGAAGGAAGGUCUGCCCUCCAGGUCUUGGUUUUCUGCAGGAAAAGAGGAUGGGGCAUGGCUUGUGGAAAAGAGGAUGGUACAGAUGGAUGGACCAGAGUAAAGAGCCAGAGAGGAGCCUCCUCUCCAGAGAGGAGAAGAGCUAAUACAGAGCCAACAGAGAUCCUGUGAACUACAGGAAUAUUGAAUCAUGAUUAAGAGAAAAAGGAAUAAGUACACAAUGGGAUAACAAAUGCAAAGUUUUUGUCAACUAUGAAGUUAUCGUUAUCAUCCCAUCAUCUUCAUCAUCAAGUCGGCUCAAGUCUCUCAUGGAUUGGAUUGAAUGGAUUAGAAACGAGUCCAACAAUAUGUUGUUUGCAAGAAACACACUUGAAACAGAAAGAUACACGCAUAGGAGCUGGAGUAGAAUCUAUUAUGCUUCAGUAGAAGUAAAAAAGACAAUCAUGAUCUUUUUUUUAAACUUUUUUUUGGGGGGGAGGUUAGGCAAUGGGGUUAAGUGACUUGCCCAGGGUUACACAGCUAGUAAGUGUUAUGUGUCUGAGGCCGGAUUUGAACUCAGGUACUCCUGGCUCCAGGGCGGGUGCUGUAUCCAUUGUGCCACCUAGCUGCCCCAACAAUCAUGAUCUUGCAAAGUAAAAUCAAAAAUAGACCUAAUUAAAAGAAAUAAUUAGGGAAACUACAUUUUGAUAAAAGAUACCAUAGACAAUGAAGUAAUAUCAAAGAGUUUUUCAGCAAGUUUCUCUGAUAAAGGCCGUAUUCCUCAAAUAUAUAGGGAACUGGAUCAAAUUUAUAAAAAUAGGAGGCAUUCCUCAAUUAAUAGAUGGUCAAAAGAUGCAAACAAGCAGUAGUUAGAGGAAGAAAUCAAAGCUAUCUAUAGUCAUAUGAAAAAUGUUCUAAAUCACUAUUGAUUAGAGAAAUGCAAAUUAAAACAGUUCUGAGGUACCACCUCACACCUAUCAGAAAUGACAAAUGCUAGAGGGGAUGAGGGAAAAUAGGUACACUAAUGAAUUGUUGAUGGAGUUGUGAACUGGUGCAAUCAUUCUGGAGAACAAUUCGGAACUAUGCCUAAAGGGCUAAAAAACUGCAUACCUUUGACCCAGCAAUAUCCCUAUUAGGUCUGUAUACCAAAGAGAUCAAAGAAAAAGGAGAAGGACCUAUAUGUCCAAAACUA
Long non-coding RNA from Phascolarctos cinereus (koala), 1690 nucleotides. The record is from Ensembl. Lineage: Eukaryota; Metazoa; Chordata; Mammalia; Diprotodontia; Phascolarctidae.